GAUGAACGCUAGCUACAGGCUUAACACAUGCAAGUCGAGGGGAAACGGCAUCGAAAGCUUGCUUUUGAUGGGCGUCGACCGGCGCACGGGUGAGUAACGCGUAUCCAACCUGCCCAUCACUUGGGAAUAACCUUGCGAAAGUAAGACUAAUGCCCAAUGACAUCCCACGAAGGCAUCCGAAUGGGAUUAAAGAUUUAUCGGUGAUGGAUGGGGAUGCGUCUGAUUAGCUUGUUGGCGGGGUGACGGCCUACCAAGGCAACGAUCAGUAGGGGUUCUGAGAGGAAGGUCCCCCACAUUGGAACUGAGACACGGUCCAAACUCCUACGGGAGGCAGCAGUGAGGAAUAUUGGUCAAUGGGCGAGAGCCUGAACCAGCCAAGUAGCGUGCAGGAGGACGGCCCUAUGGGUUGUAAACUGCUUUUAUAAGGGAAUAAAGUGGGUCACGUGUGACUUUUUGCAUGUACCUUAUGAAUAAGGACCGGCUAAUUCCGUG
This 492-nucleotide ribosomal RNA is filed under the name uncultured bacterium. RNAcentral describes it as "partial 16S ribosomal RNA". It matches the Rfam family "Bacterial small subunit ribosomal RNA", at positions 28 to 507 of the family's 1533-position model. The record is from RNAcentral.